Molecule: ribosomal RNA, 253 nt
Filed under: uncultured bacterium
Lineage: Bacteria
Description: partial 16S ribosomal RNA
Rfam family: Bacterial small subunit ribosomal RNA
Source: RNAcentral
UACGUAGGGGGCGAGCGUUGUCCGGAUUUACUGGGCGUAAAAGGUUCGUAGGUGGCUCGUCCAGUCGAGCGUGAAAUCUCCCGGCUUAACUGGGAGAGGUCGUUCGAUACUAGCGGGCUCGAGGUCGGUAGAGGGAAGCGGAAUUCCGGGUGUAGUGGUGGAAUACGUAGAUAUCCGGAGGAACACCAGUGGCGAAGGCGGCUUCCUGGACCGAUUCUGACACUGAGGAACGAAAGCGUGGGGAGCGAGCCGG